AGUCGGUGAGGUAAUGGCUCACCAAAGCGACGAUCAGUAGCCGACCUGAGAGGGUGAUCGGCCACAUUGGAACUGAGACACGGUCCAAACUCCUGCGGGAGGCAGCAGUGGGGGAUAUUGCACAAUGGGCGGAAGCCUGAUGCAGCAACGCCGCGUGAGCGAAGAAGGUCUUCGGAUCGUAAAGCUCUGUCCUGGGGGAAGAAACAAAUGACGGUACCCCGGGAGGAAGCCCCGGCUAACUACGUGCCAGCAGCCGCGGUAAUACGUAGGGGGCGAGCGUUAUCCGGAAUUAUUGGGCGUAAAGAGUACGUAGGUGGUUUGGAAAGCGUGUGGUGAAAUUGCGGGGCUUAACCCCGUCCAGCCAUGCGAACUUUCAGACUUGAGUGCAGGAGAGGGAAGUGGAAUUCCUAGUGUAGCGGUGAAAUGCGUAGAUAUUAGGAGGAACAUCAGUGGCGAAGGCGACUUCCUGGACUGUAACUGACACUGAGGUACGAAAGCGUGGGUAGCAAACAGGAUUAGAUACCCUGGUAGUCCACGCCGUAAACGAUGAGCACUAGGUGUCGGGGUCGCAAGACUUCGGUGCCGCAGUUAACG
Molecule: ribosomal RNA, 594 nt
Filed under: uncultured bacterium
Lineage: Bacteria
Description: bacterial SSU rRNA
Rfam family: Bacterial small subunit ribosomal RNA
Source: RNAcentral